UGAUGGAAAAGCUGCCAGUUAUCCAAGGCCAUCUGCUUCUCCUCUUCAUACAUAAGAAAGUAAAUUUUGUGCUCUUUUACUACUCAUCUAUCUGAAGAAUUACACAUUGCAUCGUACGAGUACACGCAGUAUGUAACAUAACAAUCUGUUGUUGUACAGUUCUUCAAUUCCGUAACAUCUAAAUUUGACAUUUCUUUGAUGUAUUUUCAUUUUGGCAUUUG
This 221-nucleotide unclassified non-coding RNA is filed under the name Hevea brasiliensis (rubber tree). The record is from RNAcentral. Lineage: Eukaryota; Viridiplantae; Streptophyta; Magnoliopsida; Malpighiales; Euphorbiaceae.